GGUAAAAGUUAAAUAAAAAAAGAAAGAAAAGCAAAGGGAAGGGGAAUACUUAAGUGGUCAUCCUUGUUGACCCUAGAGAAAUAGAAAUGAGAAUUGAAGUCCUUAAAGGCAUCACCAUCUCUUCAUUUUCUUCAAAUCUCAGGCAACAUCAACUCAAUCCGGCGAAACCACGAUUUCAGCGGCGGUUUGCGGUGGUUCUUGACUGAGAACGCUCCCAACAGCAUGGGAUCCUCAUCCCGGCGCAGUGUACCAAAAGGGAAUCAAAUCCCUAAAUUAUCUCCUUCAUCCUCUUCUUUUCCGGCAGCGGCGGCAACAAAAGGGACGACGGCAAGUCACUGGUAAUCCGGCGGCUACAUCUCUUCUCCUCUAUCUCGUUUCUCCUUAGCGACGGUGGUGCUCUCUCUGGUGACGGUUUCGGUAGCGACGACAACGCCAGGCAGUAGCGGAGGUUGUGACGAAAGGCAGCGACGACGACUAGGAAAGCCACUAAUGGCGAUGAUGGCGAGUUAUCUUUCUCCAAUUAUGUUAUGCGACCCUUGAUGCGGUGAUUUCCAACCUGAAUUGAAUCUAAACCGUGAAGGUGGAAGGAAGCUACCCCAAUCGAACUCGCUCGGCAAGAACCACCCAUUGUAAUGGUAGUUCGAAAGUUCUCAUACGAAUCCUCAAGAAGAGUCUUGCCAUAUCACCAUAUGCAAUGA
Lupinus albus (white lupine) is the source of this 698-nucleotide non-coding RNA. The record is from the annotation of a GenBank genome assembly. Lineage: Eukaryota; Viridiplantae; Streptophyta; Magnoliopsida; Fabales; Fabaceae.